CACGCUUUAAAUGCCAGUUGAUAGCAGUUUAUGCAGACCUAGGGCCACUAAAAAGAAGCGAUAGUUAUGGCCUUGGGAACUUAAUAGAAAAUUAACGGAUUCCAAGCAAAUGAAAAAAAAAGGUCAGUUUCCACACGCUCCUUCUCCCUUUUUCUUCUGAAACUGAACAAAUUCCUUACUUAAAGCCAAACACUUCCCAUGAACAGAAAAGGAAGAAACUCGCCUAAACCAAACCAAAAACUAAAUCAAUAUUCGGAUCUUAACACCUCUCUAGCCGCAUUUAU
RNAcentral lists this long non-coding RNA (284 nucleotides) under Lathyrus oleraceus (garden pea). Its description in RNAcentral is "Pisum sativum (pea) long non-coding RNA (PSAT_LNC008503)". The record is from RNAcentral. Lineage: Eukaryota; Viridiplantae; Streptophyta; Magnoliopsida; Fabales; Fabaceae.